Molecule: ribosomal RNA, 496 nt
Filed under: uncultured bacterium
Lineage: Bacteria
Description: partial 16S ribosomal RNA
Rfam family: Bacterial small subunit ribosomal RNA
Source: RNAcentral
AUUGAACGCCGGCGGAAUACUUUACACAUGCAAGUCGAACGGUAGAGGGGGCAACCCCUCGAGAGUGGCGAACGGGUGAGUAAUAUAUCGGAACGUGCCCAGUCGUGGGGGAUAACGUAGCGAAAGUUACACUAAUACCGCAUACGAUCUAAGGAUGAAAGCGGGGGAUCGCAAGACCUCGCGCGAUUGGAGCGGCCGAUAUCAGAUUAGGUAGUUGGUGGGGUAAAGGCUCACCAAGCCAACGAUCUGUAGAUGGUCUGAGAGGACGACCAGCCACACUGGAACUGAGACACGGUCCAGACUCCUACGGGAGGCAGCAGUGGGGAAUUUUGGACAAUGGACGCAAGUCUGAUCCAGCCAUUCCGCGUGCAGGAUGAAGGCCCUCGGGUUGUAAACUGCUUUUGUACGGAACGAAAAGGUCUCUCUUAAUACGGGGGACUCAUGACGGUACCGUAAGAAUAAGCACCGGCUAACUACGUGCCAGCCGCCGCCGUAA